Molecule: ribosomal RNA, 843 nt
Filed under: uncultured bacterium
Lineage: Bacteria
Description: bacterial SSU rRNA
Rfam family: Bacterial small subunit ribosomal RNA
Source: RNAcentral
UACGGAGGAUGCAAGCGUUAUCCGGAAUUAUUGGGCGUAAAGCGUCCGCAGGCGGCUAGAUAAGUCUGCUUUCAAAGAGUGGGGCUCAACCCCAUAGGGGGAGUGGAAACUGUUUAGCUAGAGUAUGGUAGGGGCAGAGGGAAUUCCCAGUGUAGCGGUGAAAUGCGUAGAUAUUGGGAAGAACACCAGUGGCGAAGGCGCUCUGCUGGACCGAGACUGACGCUGAGGGACGAAAGCUAGGGGAGCGAAAGGGAUUAGAUACCCCUGUAGUCCUAGCUGUAAACGAUGGACACUAGGUGUUGCGCGUAUCGACCCGUGCAGUGCCGUAGCUAACGCGUUAAGUGUCCCGCCUGGGGAGUACGCACGCAAGUGUGAAACUCAAAGGAAUUGACGGGGGCCCGCACAAGCGGUGGAGUAUGUGGUUUAAUUCGAUGCAACGCGAAGAACCUUACCAGGGUUUGACAUCCCUCGAAUCUCUAUGAAAGUGGAGAGUGCCUUCGGGAGCGAGGAGACAGGUGGUGCAUGGCUGUCGUCAGCUCGUGUCGUGAGAUGUUGGGUUAAGUCCCGCAACGAGCGCAACCCACGUUUUCAGUUGCCAGCAUUAAGUUGGGGACUCUGGAGAGACUGCCGGUGACAAACCGGAGGAAGGUGUGGACGACGUCAAGUCAUCAUGCCCCUUACAUCCUGGGCUACACACGUAUUACAAUGGUUAGGACAAAGGGCAGUGAAGCCGCGAGGUGGAGCAAAACUCACAAACCUAGCCUCAGUUCAGAUUGCAGGCUGCAACUCGCCUGCAUGAAGGAGGAAUCGCUAGUAAUCGCAGGUCAGCAUACUGCGGUGAAU